GGUGGGUUGGCAGAGCGGUAAUGCAGCGGGUUGCUAACCCGUGAGGGCUUCAAAACCCUCCGCAGGUUCAAAUCCUGCACCCACCG
RNAcentral lists this transfer RNA (86 nucleotides) under Candidatus Yanofskyibacteriota bacterium. RNAcentral's name for it is "tRNA-Ser". It matches the Rfam family "tRNA". From Rfam's summary of the family: Transfer RNA (tRNA) molecules are approximately 80 nucleotides in length. Their secondary structure includes four short double-helical elements and three loops (D, anti-codon, and T loops). Further hydrogen bonds mediate the characteristic L-shaped molecular structure. tRNAs have two regions of fundamental functional importance: the anti-codon, which is responsible for specific mRNA codon recognition, and the 3' end, to which the tRNAs corresponding amino acid is attached (by aminoacyl-tRNA synthetases). tRNAs cope with the degeneracy of the genetic code in two manners: having more than one tRNA (with a specific anti-codon) for a particular amino acid; and 'wobble' base-pairing, i.e. permitting non-standard base-pairing at the 3rd anti-codon position. Lineage: Bacteria; Candidatus Yanofskyibacteriota. The record is from RNAcentral.